CGAGGGGUAAUUUAAAUAGAAUGUUGGCUUUGGGGGUCAAUAGUGGAGGUUUGAUUCCUUCUUCCUCGA
Molecule: transfer RNA, 69 nt
Filed under: Xenopus tropicalis (tropical clawed frog)
Lineage: Eukaryota; Metazoa; Chordata; Amphibia; Anura; Pipidae
Description: Xenopus (Silurana) tropicalis (western clawed frog) tRNA
Rfam family: tRNA
About the family: Transfer RNA (tRNA) molecules are approximately 80 nucleotides in length.
Source: Rfam by way of RNAcentral